RNAcentral lists this ribosomal RNA (253 nucleotides) under uncultured bacterium. RNAcentral describes it as "partial 16S ribosomal RNA". It matches the Rfam family "Bacterial small subunit ribosomal RNA", at positions 524 to 776 of the family's 1533-position model. The record is from RNAcentral.
UACGGAGGGCGCUAGCGUUGUUCGGAAUUACUGGGCGUAAAGCGUGCGCAGGCGGCUCCUUAAGUCAGAUGUGAAAGCCCCGGGCCUAACCUGGGAACUGCGUUUGAAACUGGGGAGCUAGAGUGUGGAAGAGGGGGGUGGAAUUCCAGGUGUAGCAGUGAAAUGCGUAGAGAUCUGGAGGAACACCGAUGGCGAAGGCAGCCCCCUGGGCUAACACUGACGCUCAUGCACGAAAGCGUGGGGAGCAAACAGG